CCUGCUAUGGUAUAACUUAGUGGCAGACGGGUGAGUAAUGUAUAGGAAUCUACCUAGUAGUACGGAAUAAUUGUUGGAAACGGCAACUAAUACCGUAUACGCCCUACGGGGGAAAAAUUUAUUGCUAUUAUAUGAGCCUAUAUUAGAUUAGCUAGUUGGUGGAGUAAUAGCCUACCAAGGCAAUGAUCUAUAGCUGAUCUGAGAGGAUGAUCAGCCACACUGGAACUGAGAUACGGUCCAGACUUCUACGGGAGGCAGCAGUGGGGAAUAUUGGACAAUGGGCGAAAGCCUGAUCCAGCCAUGUCGCAUGAGUGAUGAAGGCUUUUGGGUUGUAAAGCUCUUUUAGUGAGGAAGAUAAUGACGGUACUCACAGAAGAAGU
This 380-nucleotide ribosomal RNA is filed under the name Wolbachia pipientis. RNAcentral's name for it is "bacterial SSU rRNA". It matches the Rfam family "Bacterial small subunit ribosomal RNA", at positions 76 to 491 of the family's 1533-position model. The record is from RNAcentral. Lineage: Bacteria; Pseudomonadati; Pseudomonadota; Alphaproteobacteria; Rickettsiales; Anaplasmataceae.